RNAcentral lists this ribosomal RNA (253 nucleotides) under uncultured bacterium. Its description in RNAcentral is "partial 16S ribosomal RNA". It matches the Rfam family "Bacterial small subunit ribosomal RNA", at positions 524 to 776 of the family's 1533-position model. The record is from RNAcentral.
UACGUAGGGCGCAAGCGUUGUCUGGAAUUAUUGGGCGUAAAGAGCUCGUAGGUGGCUUGUCGCGUCUGCCGUGAAAGCCCAUGGCUUAACUGUGGGUCUGCGGUGGAUACGGGCAGGCUGGAGGCUGGUAGGGGCAAGCGGAAUUCCUGGUGUAGCGGUGAAAUGCGCAGAUAUCAGGAGGAACACCGGUGGCGAAGGCGGCUUGCUGGGCCAGUUCUGACGCUGAGGAGCGAAAGCGUGGGGAGCGAACAGG